AAACGAUCUUAACCUAUUCUCUACUUUAAACGCUUUAAGAACCUUAACUUUCUUGAUAUGAAGUUCAAGGUUAUGAUAUAAUGUGCCCAGUGGGCCACUUUUGGUAAGCAGAACUGGCGCUGUGGGAUGAACCAAACGUAUUGUUACGGUGCCCAAAUGUUCAACUCAUGCAGAUACCAUGAUAGGCGUUGGUUGCUUAAAACAGCAGGACGGUGAUCAUGGAAGUCGAAUUCCGCUAAGGAGUGUGUAACAACUCACCUGCCGAAGCAACUAGCCCUUAAAAUGGAUGGCGCUUAAGUUGUAUACCUAUACAUUACCGCUAAAGUAGAUGAUUUAUAUUACUUGUGAUAUAAAUUUUGAAACUUUAGUGAGUAGGAAGGUACAAUGGUAUGCGUAGAAGUGUUUGGCGUAAGCCUGCAUGGAGCUGCCAUUGGUACAGAUCUUGGUGGUAGUAGCAAAUAAUCGAAUGAGACCUUGGAGGACUGAAGUGGAGAAGGGUUUCGUGUGAACAGUGGUUGAUCACGAGUUAGUCGGUCCUAAGUUGUUCAAGGCGAAAGCCGAAAAUUUUCAAGUAAAACAAAAAUGCCUAACUAUAUAAACAAAGCGAAUAUAAUACACUUGAAUAAUUUUGAACGAAAGGGAAUACGGUUCCAAUUCCGUAACCUGUUGAGUAUCCGUUUGUUAUUAAAUAUGGGCCUCGUGCUCAUCCUGGCAACAGGAAACGACCCAUAAAGAAGCCGUCGAGAGAUAUCGGAAGAGUUUUCUUUUCUGUUUUAUAGCCGUACUACCAUGGAAGUCUUUCGCAGAGAGAUAUGGUAGAUGGGCUAGAAGAGCAUGACAUAUACUGUUGUGUCGAUAUUUUCUCCUCGGACCUUGAAAAUUUAUGGUGGGGACACGCAAACUUCUCAACAGGCCGUACCAAUAUCCGCAGCUGGUCUCCAAGGUGAAGAGUCUCUAGUCGAUAGAAUAAUGUAGGUAAGGGAAGUCGGCAAAUUAGAUCCGUAACUUCGGGAUAAGGAUUGGCUCUGAAGAUUGAGAUAGUCGGGCUUGAUUGGGAAACAAUAACAUGGUUUAUGUGCUCGUUCUGGGUAAAUAGAGUUUCUAGCAUUUAUGUUAGUUACUUGUUCCCCGGAUAGUUUAGUUACGUAGCCAAUUGUGGAACUUUCUUGCUAAAAUUUUUAAGAAUACUAUUUGGGUUAAACCAAUUAGUUCUUAUCAAUUAUAACGAUUAUCAAUUAACAAUCAAUUCAGAACUGGCACGGACUUGGGGAAUCCGACUGUCUAAUUAAAACAAAGCAUUGUGAUGGCCCUAGCGGGUGUUGACACAAUGUGAUUUCUGCCCAGUGCUCUGAAUGUCAAAGUGAAGAAAUUCAAGUAAGCGCGGGUCAACGGCGGGAGUAACUAUGACUCUCUUAAGGUAGCCAAAUGCCUCGUCAUCUAAUUAGUGACGCGCAUGAAUGGAUUAACGACGGACGUGUUUUCGUUGCGCUCGUGUACAGAUUGCGAAGAACUUGGUUUUCCGUGUUUGGAAAGUAAUAAAAUCGGUGAAUUAGUGCUCCGCGAAAGUCGUGUGCUAAUUUUCGUGUGUAUAAACAGCGUUUGGAGUAUACAUUAUUGUUGGGAUUUCACUAGCACGUGCUGAGCGACUACGAGUAGUUU
Molecule: ribosomal RNA, 1659 nt
Filed under: Drosophila sechellia
Lineage: Eukaryota; Metazoa; Arthropoda; Insecta; Diptera; Drosophilidae
Description: eukaryotic LSU rRNA
Rfam family: Eukaryotic large subunit ribosomal RNA
Source: RNAcentral